Molecule: non-coding RNA, 253 nt
Organism: Cricetulus griseus (Chinese hamster)
Lineage: Eukaryota; Metazoa; Chordata; Mammalia; Rodentia; Cricetidae
Source: RefSeq, a predicted model, not a curated record
UCCUCCUGUGAACUUGUAGCUUCCCUGCAUCGUUCUGGCUUCCCCUGGCUGACUAGUCACACCUGUGUCUCUUCCAGCCUCCAGCCUCUGGCAAGGUCACCGUGAAGAAAACUCAAAGCAUCAAGAAUGAACCACAACACGUGUGCAUGGAAGCCAUGACAGCCCUUUCAGAUAUCAUCAGACAUUUCAACCCUUCUGUUCUGAUGCCCACGUGCUCUCCUGGGAAGAGCGGUGCAGCCCACAAUAUGGUUGA